GAUGAACGCUGGCGGCGUGCCUAAUACAUGCAAGUCGAACGUGAGAGGGUACUUGUAUCCUUGGAAGUGGCGGACGGGUGAGUAAGACGUAGGUGACCUGCCUUGAAGUGGGGGAUAACCAUUGGAAACGAUGGCUAAUACCGCAUAAGCUGGUGACGAUGGGAAUCGUUAUCAGGAAAGCUUUAGUGCUUUGAGAGGGGCCUACGGCCGAUUAGCUAGUUGGUGAGGUAAAGGCUCACCAAGGCGAUGAUCGGUAGCUGGUCUGAGAGGACGAUCAGCCACACGGGAACUGAGACACGGUCCCGACUCCUACGGGAGGCUGCAGUCGAGAAUCUUCCGCAAUGCACGAAAGUGUGACGGAGCGACGCCGCGUGUCGGAUGAAGGCC
This 387-nucleotide ribosomal RNA is filed under the name uncultured bacterium. RNAcentral's name for it is "bacterial SSU rRNA". It matches the Rfam family "Bacterial small subunit ribosomal RNA", at positions 28 to 416 of the family's 1533-position model. The record is from RNAcentral.